This 216-nucleotide ribosomal RNA is filed under the name Glomeromycotina sp. RNAcentral's name for it is "partial small subunit ribosomal RNA". The stretch from base 40 to 216 matches the Rfam family "Eukaryotic small subunit ribosomal RNA", at positions 686 to 864 of the family's 1831-position model. Lineage: Eukaryota; Fungi; Glomeromycota. The record is from RNAcentral.
GGGUCAGUAGGUUGGUCGUGCCACCGGUACGUACUGGUCUCACUGAUUUCUCCUUCCUGAAGAACCGUAAUGCCAUUAAUUUGGUGUUGCGGGGAAGCAGGACUGUUACUUUGGAAAAAUUAGAGUGUUUAAAGCAAGCUAACGCUUGAAUACAUUAGCAUGGAAUAAUGAAAUAGGACGAUCGAUCCUAUUUUGUUGGUUUCUAGGAUUGACGUA